RNAcentral lists this long non-coding RNA (588 nucleotides) under Anser cygnoides (Swan goose). Its description in RNAcentral is "lncRNA (ENSACDG00005016013.1)". The record is from RNAcentral. Lineage: Eukaryota; Metazoa; Chordata; Aves; Anseriformes; Anatidae.
AUGACUGCCACCAGUUUGAUCUGGACUUUUGCUGACAUCUACAGUGAUAUCCACUGUAAGACUGUCUCACUGUCCAGACGGUACCAUCCUGCUUUCCUGGAUUUUUCCUCUACAAAUCAGUCCUGUAAAACAUCAAGGUGGCCUAAUUAUUUUCUAUGCUUUGAAGAAAAGUGUUCUGUUUGUGCUCUUCUAUUCAGCCCCUGCAAUGCCUCCAGCCUGUACCACGUUGCUCCUUGUGAAGACAGCUGGCCUAACUCCAGCUGGGUGCUGUGGGUCCAGAUAUGUCACCGCCUGGGAAGCUCUUGUCAAAUGACACAGCUGAUGAGGACUUCAAACUCACCAUGCAGUGCUGUCCCAAAGAACAGAACACAAGAGCAGGUAUAAGGAUCACCCUGGCAUCACAACGGAGAGAAACCUCUGGGGGUCCAGCACACCUUGGGGGUGAAUGUGGCAGCAAUGAGGGAAACGCACCUUCCCAGGCAUGAACAGGGACCAAGAGGACAUGUUGGGUAAAAUUGUUGCUGUUUUUCUUGUUUGCAGUCAAUCAGUAGCAAUAAAAUGCUAUUCUUCUUAGGGAAGCUUUAAUUU